UAAGGGUGGAGGAGUUAUGGUACACAAUUUUGUGCAAGGUUUGUAAGCACGAAACCAUACCAUCAAUUUCCAUUAUAUACUUGAUGAUCAUAUCAUUACUAUUUCUUUGGGUAAGGCAGCAUAAUUAUGGCGAUUAGUAAUAAUAAUUACCUAUGCUCCUGUUUGUCAACAGAUAACCCCACCCCCUGCAAAUAAGUACACGCAAAAGUAUGCACACUAAUUGUUUUCAGCCAAUUAAUAAUUGUUUUAAGUUAAAAACAGUACAUAGCUUACCUACCUUCUCAGGCCUAAAUGCAAAUCAUCUAAUCGACACGUACUUACCUACUAAGAUUGAUACAGAUGAAGAAUUAGAAAAAAAAACAAUAUACCAGGUAUGUUUAUUUAGCAUAGAAUAUUCAUUUACCUAGGAACAGUGGCGUAUUUAAAUUUUUUGCGGGUUUCUUUUAUGCAGGAACUAUAUGCGCUACGCUUAGGUAAGAUCAAAAUGGAACUUGUACUAUCCGUAUGCUCCCCAGUACUUUAUCUUCGUCAUUUAAUGCGACCGCCACCCUCAUUUACAAGGACUUUAUCGUUUCGUUCCUUUCCCAAACUACAUCUCAUCAAAGAAGGACUACUAUUAUUAAGAUGAUUGUCGUUAUCCUGGGUAUAAUGAUCAUUUUACUGGAACUCAUCGUCAAGCAGGUCGAUGGGGUAUUUCCUUUUGUCACGGCGUUGGUCAGUCUUUGCGGGGCACCUUUGCUGGGUUUAUUUACACUAGGUGUGCUUUUUCCGCGUGCAAAUAGCAAAGGUGCUCUGAUUGGAGCCGUUUCGGCUGUAUUAUCAACAGGAUGGCUUGUGAUUGGAAAUAUAACGUAUUCCACCAGAGGGUUGCUACGAAAUGAAAGGAAACCCUUGUCCAUAGCACAAUGCGAUGUUAAAUUAAACCGCAAGUUGACGAGUUAUGCUAGUGAAGAAGAAGUUUUUAUCUUAUACAGGAUCGCAUUUUGGUAUUACGCGCUUGCUGGCACAGUCAUAACUGUUACAGUAGGGGUUGUUGUUAGUUGCUGUACGAAACGAGAAGGUACAAUUAAUCCUACCCUUGUGAAUCCGAUGGUUCGUCGUUUCUUACACACGGAUACAUAUCCUCACGUUUCCUACAAUGCAGAUGACGUUAUUGUUAACGAGAAGAUUUAAUUGUGUUAAUUGUGAAGUUAAAAACAUUUUUGUAAUUUGUAAAAUCAUGUAUAAAUGUUUCUUUCGGCAAAACUUAAACGACACUAAGCUGUAAAACCUACUUCUUGUACCUUAAUACCGGGUGAUCGAAAAAAACUGCAGACAAUUUAAAUUGGGGCUUUAAAUUUUUAGUGUUUUUUACUUAAGGAAUUGGCAAACAUGUUUAGAAGUUGGUUUAUUUAUGCAUUAAUUGCCAUCCAUUGGCGUAGUGUUUUAUGUGAAUUUUAUUUUCUAAUCUUCGUACUGUGAUCCAUGCGUUUCAAAGCAAACAGCUCUUUUUAAAAAGGUCUUCGCACGUGCAUCAUUUUGUAAAGGCAUAAAGGCUUUAAAGGGGAUGUCUUUUGAUGCACAAUUGAAAGGCGUACACGACAUACAUGUUUAAAAGAUGCUCAUAUUCGACUCAGUUGUGCUUACUGCAAUUCAACGAUAAAUGUGCUACUUACCAUGAUGUCGAAAGUGUAAAAAAAACGUAGCCCCAAGAAAUGCUUUCCGAAAAUUCUCUAAUGAAGUUGACUUAUCGCAUAAUAUGUGGCACAAAAUUUAACACAUUGAUAUCGGAAUGUUAUCAUCCAGUGUUGAUGACGUUAAUUUAUGAGAAGACGUCUUAUUGUAUGUAGGCAAAUAAAAUGAACCUUACAGUGAUGGUUUAAUGAGCAUGACUAUUGCUCGGGAAACGUUGGAAUAGAUAUUUGAAUACAUGAACCCGAGCGUUCAACUGAGCUUGAUAAAUUAAUUUUUUUUAAUUAAUUAAUUGUGAUUAUUGUUUAGUGAUCCAUUAAAUUGAUCCACCACUGCUUUUAAA
RNA transcript from Photinus pyralis (common eastern firefly), 2014 nucleotides. It is a transcript of the gene named sodium-coupled monocarboxylate transporter 2-like, with no coding region annotated. The record is from RefSeq and is a predicted model, not a curated record. The transcript is spliced from 5 exons. Lineage: Eukaryota; Metazoa; Arthropoda; Insecta; Coleoptera; Lampyridae.